Molecule: unclassified non-coding RNA, 230 nt
Filed under: uncultured fungus
Lineage: Eukaryota; Fungi
Description: sequence contains ITS1
Source: RNAcentral
GGAUAUUGACGUGAAGGCGAUCUUUGGCCGGGCGGCGGAGAUCGCCUCGCUGACAGAGCGAAGUGCUUACCUGGACGAGGUUUGCGGCACCGAUGCGGCGGUGCGCGCGGAGGUUGGCGAAUUGCUUGGCGCGCUGUCGAACGCCGGCGAUUUUCUGGUCACGUCGCCGGCGCUGCGGAUGGGCGACGCGACGAGCGACGUAGUGACCGAAGGCGCGGGAGAUUGGAUCG